CGGUGGAAAGGUUGCAAUUGCUGCUUCUCGGUGCAGCAGAUUUUGUUUGUUAUUUGUGCUUUUUGAACCAUCAUUUUACAUUUGUGGCUCUCUAGUGCUUGAGAUAAGGUAAUUUUUUUCCUUUUUUGUUUGUUUCAUCCCUUCUGACUGAGGUUGAUGGAGGGAAUCCAAGAGGAAGAGGGAAGCAGUUUGCUUUUCUGCAGCUUGAUGAGUCUUGCUUUCUUAUGCAACUUAGGUAAGAGCAUCAACCAAGAUGGCAAUAAGGAGGUGAAUCCAAUGAGUUUUCCCUUCUUUUUUCUUUUUUUUUUUUUUGAAUCCUGAAAGUGUUACUACUACACAAGAGAAAUGAAAUUUGAACUGCAAAUUUUUUUAUUAUUCCCUUCAGUCUACUGCAUCAAGAUAUCAAUUUUACUAGUGAGUCUGAUUUUCACUCGUGAAACAAGAAGAUUCAAAUGAACGAUGCAUUUAUUUACCCUCUUGGUAGACUCAAAUUCACAUUGAAAGUCUUAAAUUUGCUGCUUAUAAGACGAUGACAAAGAAAAAGUUUCAGGUGUCGUAGUGAUUUCAAAGUAACGUUGCAAAGAGGAUAAAUCUCACUCUCAAACCUAAUGUCUGG
Molecule: long non-coding RNA, 616 nt
Filed under: Coffea arabica (coffee)
Lineage: Eukaryota; Viridiplantae; Streptophyta; Magnoliopsida; Gentianales; Rubiaceae
Description: long non-coding RNA (CARA_LNC000530)
Source: RNAcentral